UAGCAGAAUACUUGCCCCUUCAUAUUCCAAACCAGCCUCCCGCUUUCUGUAAAAGAUAGACAGGAACAUGGGCAGGAUGUUUAUACUGCAGAAUGUAAACAUUUUCCCUGGCCUUCUUUAAAUAAAAAAUCAAGCAAAAGCCCCGUUAGAUCAGCUAAUACUCAAUCUGACGCGAUAUGUCCGUGUGUUCGCUGCGUCUUGUGGGGAUGCAGGACAUUUUUACGCAUGAAUAUUGUUUGUGUAACGCAGUCAUAAUAUUUACGCAGGGACGCAGGAGGAGUGAACAGCGAACAUGCCGAACUGUGAGCGCAGAAACUCGGACUGGGACCUGAGAUGGAGGCAGGCAGUUGUACCAUCGAAUGAUCCGGGAUAUAAAGUUGGAGUGGGCAGGCCUGCGGCUUUGGCCACAGGAAGCUGCGAAUUCUUAGCAGAAUGGAAGAUGUCUUAUGGGGAGACAUACUGGCCCCCCCACCUACCCACUCACCACCUCAAAACGACCCCUGACCCCUCCUUGUGUUUAUAUCAGACCAUGGAAGUGAGAAAUAGUGAUGAGUCACUCUGGCUGUGUGUUUAUACUCCGGAGUCACGCAAGGAAGGAAAUCAGCCACGGUCUGCUAAAAGUGGCGAGGUGACAGAGAAUAGCUGCAGUCCCUGAGCGCUGCUGUGAUUUACCUCUGCACAACCAGAAUUCAUUUCACCUCGUCUCUGCUGCAAAGACUUUGAACCAGGAGGAAAUCAGGGCUGUGGACUGUUGUCAAGGAAAAGGCGAAUCCAAUGGAAGUCAAUUAGGUUACUGUGUUACUGAGUUACAUUUACAGUAAGUAAGUGCAUCAAUGUCAUACUCAAUAUUAUUCAUCAAGAAAAUUAUCUGUACAUUGAAUUUGACUAAAGUCUUGAUAAUCAAGGCAGGAAAACGCACAGAAAACUGUCAGAGGGAAAACAUGUAUCUCCACACAUUCCAUGAUUGUUAUUAUUUCUUUAUUUUAAACAAAACAGUUUUUCAGCUCACUACUGAAUUAAUCUUGAAUUGCAGAAUGUUUCUCAACUAAAGGGAGGGUAUCUAUCAAAUACAACAUUUUAAAUCACAAGGUUGUCACACUGUAGCAAUGAUACUGCACGUAACUUUGUUUAAAAAAGACGUAAAUCCACUCAGGUUCUGCACUGAUUAUAUAUUUUGUUCAACAUAAAUACUCCAAGUUGAAUUUUGUUUAAAAUUCAACUUGGAGUAAUAAUGAUUUCAAAUACUUACUCAAAUACUCACCUUCCCAUGAUCUUAUUCAAAAGCAAAAUAGACAUAUCUGAUAUUCUAUGUCUGACAUUAUGUUUAUUACCGGUAUAUGUAUAGCUCAAGCUAAAUCAUAUUUAAGAAAAGUUUAUAUAACUAGUUUAGUUUUUAAUAUGAUGGUUUAUAUUUUAUUUAAAUGGGUUUUAUGGAAUGGUUCCAAACACUUCAUUGAUAAGUGUUAUUAUGAAAAAGAUUUUAUAAAAGGAGCAAACACAUUUAAGUUUGUAGAGAUCCUGAAACAAUGCAAUUAAAAUAAAAUAAAGGCUUUUUUCCGAUGAAUUAGACACUAUAUUUAAGAAAUAGACAUGGUGUUUCAAACCAGUGGUUCUCAAAUGGAGGUCCGUGAUAGCCAGGGAAUCUGUGAAAAGAUUCCAGAUUCAUUAACCAAAGUUAUCAUGAUCAUGUGUAUUCUGAGUUCUGUAUUUUUAAUACUAUUGUUGUUCGUUUACAUAACUUAGUGUAAAAACAUAGGCUUUGUCAAAUUAUUCCAAGGGUCCUCCAUGAGGGUCUUCCACGUUCUUUGGUUGAAAAAAAAAGGAGAAUCUCUGCCAUCUGACAUUACAUUUUCAUCAUCUUAAUAAUAAACAUAAAGCAACAGUUAGUGCAUUGGUUUAUAUUGAAAAUAAUGGAUAUACCUCGUAGGUUUAAUAGAUUCUUUAUAUUAUAAAGGGAAUUUUUGUGUUAUAAAAUGUGUUUAUUAUAUACGUGAGUGACUGGUCGUAUAGUAUCACCGCUGCAUGAUCCACACUGGACACGUUGCGUGGCGCUCUGCAGGACGUGAUGCUCCAUGUUCUGUAAGGUGUGUUUACUGAGGCCUCGUCCAAUGUUUCAAACAUGCUGUCAUUGUUGUCCUCCCCCACGAGCCACUUUCAGAUUGCACAACUGUUGUUUUCUUGAGGGACAGCAGCUGUAGUCACUGCAGCUACGCUCUGUAAAUAAAAGUGACACCUUAUGUCUUCCCGUCAUUACACUGGUGCAAGUAACCUCAUUGCCGAGUGUAUAGCGAGUAUCCUGUUACCCACCCCCAUACACACCGCCACAAUGAGAGAGUCAGCGGCUCUUAUUUUGGCUGAUCUCUCCUGAAUUGUAAGUCCUGUCAGUGGCUUUGAUUGAUAGUUGUGUUUAUCACCAUAUUAUUAAGUAAUCAGGCUCACCACAGCCGGGCCUGAAGCUCCUUAAUUCCAGUUGAAGCACACGGCUUCGAGCUAAUUAAAGGUUUGGUCAAAGUGUUUAUUUUCAUGAAUUUUUAAAAUACAGUUGUCUGUGCUUUUAUGAGAGUGCACUGAUUGUUGCAUUUGUAUCCUCUCUAGUACCAAACCUUUACUGUUGUGUCCUCUUCAGACAGAUCAUGGACUAAAAAAAUCUUGCCUUUCACGAAUGUGCUUUUUCACAUUUAACCGGCAAAAUGAUGAAUAAUGUUCAUACAACACAGCGUAUAACACAAGGGGGGUCAAUCAGCCUACGUUGUGUGUAUCAGAGGAGGUUUCUUCUCGCUUCGUUAAUAGAGCCUGCGGCAGGCUGCAUUUGUGUAUUCCUGAGGUAAACACAGUCAUGGCAAAGUGGACAUGCUGCUAAGUGUGUCCUGACUGGAGACAGAGAGCACUGUGGCACUGUACUGACGGCAGACACUGGCUGCUCUCUAGAUGCGGGGUUCAUGUGAUGAAUGGCCAUUUGGUAAUGGGCCAUGUACUGUAUUAGGGUGAAAUAGCUCUUUGAAAAGCCAGAGCUGGAGCCACAGCUAUGGGCAAUUUGAUUCAGGAAUCGGUCAGGUGGCAGGUGUUUCAUGUCGGAUCAGUCAGCUUGCCCUCGCGCUCUCUUUUAACUCGAUGAAGGGAAAAAGAUGUAAAACCGCACAUGGGAAAUAAAAACAUAACUAUAAAUUAUACUGCAGUCAUAAUUUUCAUUCAUGUCUUUGAUGUUUAAGUCUUCUGAAAUGUACUGUAUAAACAGGUUGAUUCUUCUAGAAAUGAACAUAAAUAUCUGUACCACUCCGAGCGGUGUGUUCUCUCCUGUGUCGACAGCGCUGUUCUUGCUUUCUCUUCAAACCAGUGUCAGUCAGUGGGAUUGUAAACUAUCAAUGUAUUCCAGCAGUGGUUAUUACUAGUUUUACACAAGCUUGAAUUGCAGUAAUACAAAUACACCAGUCUGUUUGUCCUGUACAUGUUCUGAUGUAAAUUUUAUUAAAUAAAACUGCAUAAUGUGGAAAUGAUUUUUCAUACAUCAUAAAAAUAAUAAAUGUGUUAAUGUAAUUAGGAGGUUUUGUGCAAUAAUUAUCCAAUUUUCCCCCAUGUUAUAGCUCAAGCCUAUUCCCAAAGAAAUAACUUUCCAUAAAAUAUUUUUUUUUGAUAUUUAAAGCAAUUUGGAAAUUUCUAUUUUGAAUUGUUUUACAAAUUUACAUCAAUAAAUUUCCAUUUAAUCCAA
This is a long non-coding RNA of Pleuronectes platessa (European plaice), 3706 nucleotides long. RefSeq lists it as uncharacterized. The transcript is spliced from 2 exons. Lineage: Eukaryota; Metazoa; Chordata; Actinopteri; Pleuronectiformes; Pleuronectidae. The record is from RefSeq and is a predicted model, not a curated record.